CUUUUUUUUUUUAAUUUUGAUUUUUCAAAAACCGUCCGGCAUGGAAAAUAAAUGAUUUCCUUCUUUUUAGUGUCCUUUAUAUUUCUCCUCUUUCUAAAUUUCUCUCUCUGUAAUGCUCUCAUUCAUUGAAAAAAAUGGCUUCCAAUUCUACCGGCAGAACGACGUCGUUGUCCUCUCACAGAGCUGACAGACACCAGCAGCAGCAGCAACUUCCUUCUUCUGUUGGAUCUUCUUCUGCUUCUUCGUCUUCGAAUUCUAGUUCAAGAAAUGUGACACAGCAGAAUCCCAACCAUCACUCUCUUCGCUCUAAGGCUCCCGCUUCUUCACGCCGCUCUGUUACCCCUACUUCUCGUUCUUAUUCUUCUCACAAUGAUGACGAUAACGAUCCUGGAAGGGUGAGAGUUGCUGUCAGACUACGACCAAGAAACGCUGAAGAUCUUAUUUUGGACUCCGACUUUUCUGAUUGCGUCGAAUUGCAGCCAGAGCUGAGAAGGUUGAAAUUGAGGAAAAACAACUGGAGUUCUGAAUCAUAUAAAUUUGAUGAAAUAUUUACCGAAAAUGCCUCUCAAAAGCGUGUUUAUGAAGCAGUAGCAAAACCUGUUGUUGAGGGUGUACUGAAUGGAUAUAAUGGGACAGUUAUGGCUUACGGUCAGACAGGUACCGGAAAAACUUAUACGGUUGGCAGAUUGGGCAAAAAUGAUGCAUCUGAGCGUGGUAUCAUGGUUAGAGCUCUAGAAGACAUACUUGCUAAUGCAAAUCCUGCUUCUGAUAUUGUUGAAGUCUCCUAUUUGCAGUUGUAUAUGGAAUCUAUACAAGAUUUGCUUGCGCCAGAGAAGAUUAAUAUCCCUAUUAAUGAGGACCCAAGGACAGGGGAUGUGUCAUUACCUGGUGCUAUGGUGGUCAGAGUUCGUGAUCUUGAUCAUUUUUUUGAACUACUGCAAAUUGGUGAGGCAAAUCGACAUGCUGCUAAUACAAAGCAGAACACAGAAUCUUCACGCAGUCAUGCAAUUCUAAUGGUUUAUGUACGAAGAUCCAUCCAUCAAAAGUUAGAUGAAAUCAAUUCUCAAGAUAUGACAACUGAUUUGGCUGGUGGCAAUGGCAUUCCUAGAGUUAGAAAAAGCAAGCUGCUGAUUGUUGAUCUUGCUGGAUCCGAAAGAUUGGAUAAAUCUGGCAGUGAAGGUCGGUUGCUAGAGGAGACUAAGUUCAUUAAUCUUUCUCUAACUUCCCUUGGCAAAUGCAUAAAUGCAUUGGCUGAAAACUGUCCACACAUACCUACAAGGGAUUCUAAGCUGACCAGAUUGCUGCGUGAUUCAUUCGGAGGCUCCUCGCGGACUUCUCUUAUAAUAACAAUUGGGCCAUCUUCACAGCAUCAUGCAGAGACGACCAGCACAAUUAUGUUUGGGCAACGGGCAAUGAAAAUAGUAAACAUGCUUAAGCUUAAAGAAGAAUUUGACUAUGAAAGUCUAUGUCGGAAACUUGAGAUUCAAGUAGAUCACCUUACUGUAGAAAUAGAAAGGGAACGGAAAUUGAGAGAGAGUGAAAAAUAUGACUUGGAAAAGCAGCUCAAAGAAUGUCAAGACUCGUUUGCUCAAACAAUGAAGAAUCUAGUCACAAGGUCUGAGUUUUUAGAGAAGGAAAAUUCUCAACUGGAAUUGGAGAUGAAAGACAUCUUAAAUGAAUUGGACCAUCAAAAGGGUCAGAAUGAUUUAAUGCAUGGUAAAAUUGAACAGCUGGACAUGAGUUUGAAACAUAGCCAGAACAAAAGCAGGAGCUUACUUGUUGAGUGCAGAAAAUGUACCAGUGAAGACCUUUUAGAUAUAAAUUAGGGUGGACAACCUGCAAUGCUGAAGCCAUCAUGAGGAUAGCAGCAACAGCAGCUGGAAAAUUCUACCAAUCAGAAAGUACUUGCUGACACCACUCAGAUGUAUGAAAAGAAAAUAUCAGACCUAAACAGGCAGCUUGAAGACAAGCAUGCUCAUUGUGAAAGCUCAGAGGAACAACUAAAUUUGAUGAUGAAGCUCCUGAAUGAUGGUCAAAGAUCAAUUAAGCAACAUGAGGCAGAAAACUCCACAUAUCAGAAAGCACUUGCAGACACCACUCAGAUGUAUGAGAAGAAAAUGGCAGAGUUAAAUAAGCAGCUAGAAGAUGAACAUGCCCAUACUAGAAGUGUUGAGGAACAAUUAGAUAUGACGAAGAAGCUCCUAAGUGAUAGUCAAAAGUUAAAUCAGCAAAGGGAGGUGGAAAAUUCUAUGUAUCAAAAAGCACUUGCAGAAACCACACAGCUUUAUGAGAAGAAAAUAGCAGACCUAGUUAACCAAUUAGAGGAUGAGCAUGCCCAUUUUGAAGGAGUGGAAGAACAACUGGAUCUAGCCAAGAAGCUUCUACGUGAUCAACAAGACGCAAUUAAGGAUCUGGAAGGGAUUGAAGAACUAAGGGGCAUGUUACAAGAAAUGUAUCAGCUACAUGAAAUCACUCAAACUGAACUCCAGUCCUUGAAGUCAGACAACAAUGAGCUGUUGCAUGAGAAGGCAACAAUAAAUGAAGAAGUUAGUGACCUGAAGCGAAGACUUUCAGUUGAAAUAAAGCAAAGGAAGAGCAUUGAACAUGAGCUGGCCAAACUAAAGACGAGUGAACCUGAAAGUGACAAUAAAUUUGAGGAUAAGCAAUCAUACAUGAAGGAAAAAGUUGGUAAAGGAUCACACAAGUCAAAUCCUUCAAGGGAGAUACUAUCUGGUCAGAGGGCUACAAUUGCUAAGAUAUGUGAAGAAGUUGGACUGCAAAAGAUACUACAGUUGUUGAUGUCUGAAGACUCUGAUGUCCAAACCCAUGCAGUGAAAGUGAUUGCCAAUCUUGCUGCUGAAGAUAUUAAUCAAGAGAAGAUUGUGGAGGAAGGAGGGUUAGAUGCAUUGCUUAUGCUGUUGAAAUCGUCACAAAAUGCAACUAUACUUAGAGUGGCUUCUGGGGCCAUAGCCAAUUUGGCAAUGAAUGAAAUGAAUCAGGGGUUAAUAAUGAGCAAAGGUGGUGCACGACUGCUUGCAGUGACAGCAUCCAAAACAGAUGAUUCACAAACUCUUAGAAUGGUAGCUGGUGCACUAGCUAAUUUAUGUGGAAAUGAAAGGUUACAUAUGAUGCUGAAAGAAGAUGGAGGCAUAAAGGCGCUCUUGGAAAUGGCAAGAUCCAAGAAUAAUGAUGUUGUUGCACAAGUUGCAAGGGGUAUAGCUAAUUUUGCAAAAUGCGAAUCUCGAGGCAUACUUCAAGGACACAAAAAGGGCCGUUCACUACUAAUGGAAGAUGGUGCUCUUGAAUGGUUAAUUGCCUACUCUAACACUACUUCGGUGUCAACCAGGCGCCAUGUUGAGCUUGCUCUUUGUCAUUUGGCUCAAAAUGAGGACAAUGUCAAGGAUUUCAUUUCUGGAGGAGGUGUUAAAGAACUUGUACGAAUAUCAGUUGAAUCUAGUAGGGAAGAUAUCCGUAACCUUGCAAAGAAGACCCUGAAAAUGAACCCAACAUUUCAAGCUGAUAUACGUUGGGAGUAGCAGUAAAUUGUCAAGCUUUCAUACUCUCCCCCUAAUAGUAUAAUGCUUGGGUACAAAAUCAAUAGUAAAUUUGGCAGAAAAUUCUCUGAUAAUUUUUUGAACAGCUGUCCUGGCAAUUUUCGUUUUUCUUGGGCUUAAGAUCUAAAUUAGACCCUCAACUUUCACCAAAUAUGCAGUGUGACAUGUAUAGUUCAAUUGUAUCAAUUAAGCCCUUCAAUGUGUCGGUCAUUAGCGCACUAUUAGAAGAGCAUAUAACUUGAAGGGGAAAUGGCUAAAAAAUCUAGAACUUUAUUGUGCUCUAAAACUUUUAUUAUUAUUAUUAUUAUUAU
RNAcentral lists this unclassified non-coding RNA (3865 nucleotides) under Hevea brasiliensis (rubber tree). Lineage: Eukaryota; Viridiplantae; Streptophyta; Magnoliopsida; Malpighiales; Euphorbiaceae. The record is from RNAcentral.